AGCCUUCUUUGAUAAGGCACCAAGGCUUGCAAGAACUGCUUCCUUUUCUUCUCCUACCUUCCCCCUCAGCUUUCCAUUUUUCCCUCCCCGCCCUUCCCUUUCUCCCCACUUGCCCUGUUGCCAUCCUGGAAGAAAGUCACCAAGACUCAAGAACUUCUAAAAGGAAGCUCCUUAACCUCGGGAAGUAAACAAACGACUGAGUCUCAGCAAGUCCCUGAAACCUACAAGACAAGCACCCCACCCCUACCAAGGCUAUAUGAACCCCCACCAGGACUACUGAAAGGAAGGGCUCUCCAAUCGGCAGAGCUGCCUCCAAGUCAAGCAGAGAUUACAGGACGCUGGCUUUCACGCCAUGCUGGCGUGCGUUGGUGGUGCUACAGCUGCCUUGGAGUCCUCCCUGCUCCUGUGAGCAACCCUUCACCCACGCUCGCCUCAACACACUUGCUUCACAGAUAGGACGUUGGCGGCAUCAUUACUCUGAUCUGAUGUCAGUUCCUUAUCUGGGGUCUGCACACAAGACAUCUUCAGCAGACAUCAAGUAAGAGGGCAUACAACUGAAAGAUCCUGACAGAAUGUAAAAGGUCACAGAAGCCCUGAAAUUGGCAAGAUAGAUGUCACUGUUAGCAGAACUAGCUUCACUGAUUUAGAAAAAUAGAGGCGCACAAUGCUCUGGCCACUCCUUGGACCCGUGUGUCUGCCAAUGUUUUGACCGUUCCUGGAACCCAUGUGUGUGCCCACUGAUGAAGCCCAUUGCCAGGUGUUUGUAAUAUUGGUUGCUGAGAAAGAGUCAGAAAAUCUCCCCAGCAACCACAGCCCGGCCAAUCCUGAGUUGCUACACCUGCACCAGACUCUUUCCUUGUACCCCUCCCAUACCCAUUUCUUGAGAAUAGACAUUGUUUAGAUCUGGAAAUCCCCUACUCUUCCCCUUUCUCCUUUCCCCCCGAGGGCCUAUAAAAACUGGGACCUCUUUCCCCUCGAGGUCGACUCCUCUACCCCUGUGUGGGAUAUGAGUCGUCCCCAGAGCUCUGGCUUUCCCCAAAUAAAGCCUCAUGUGGUUUACAUCAAG
This 1066-nucleotide long non-coding RNA is filed under the name Mus musculus (house mouse). Its description in RNAcentral is "predicted gene, 56508". Lineage: Eukaryota; Metazoa; Chordata; Mammalia; Rodentia; Muridae. The record is from RNAcentral.